Molecule: ribosomal RNA, 609 nt
Filed under: Triticum aestivum (bread wheat)
Lineage: Eukaryota; Viridiplantae; Streptophyta; Magnoliopsida; Poales; Poaceae
Description: partial small subunit ribosomal RNA
Source: RNAcentral
GCUCCCUCUCCCCCUUCCCCCGAUCUAGAUCGAGGGCAGCGAACACCGACAACGACGCCGCCUCGCGCCCCGCCGCCGGCGCCCACCCCGACGCCGCCCCACCGCCGUCCUCCUCGCCUCCUCCCCCUCCCAAUCUGGGAGCCCCCACGCCGAGCCCGACCCGCCAAUCACCGUCGCUGGACCCCGCCGCUGCCGCCACCGGACUGCCUCGCCCCAUCGCCUCAUCUUCAUCUCCUCCCCGACGUCUUCAUCGCGCCUUGCCGGCCCCCUGUUCAUCUACAACGGGGACCCCGAGACUGCUGCUGAUGCCAUUGUGAUUUACUACGUCGACGACGACCCUCCUUCUUGUCUGAGCAACCAGAUGGUGGAUCCCUGGAGCCAAAUGCUAUCGCCGACGGAUGCUACUAUGUGAAGAUCACCGACGGUUAGGAGUAGUUAGGAGGUCCCAGACAGGAGGCCUUGCCUCUUCGACCGUUAUUGCUUUUGUGCUAGCCUUCUUAAGGCAUUCUUGUUUAACCUUAUGUCUGUACUCAGAUAUUGUUGCUUCCGCUGACUCUUGUGUAUCGAGCUUGUAUUCGAGCCCUCGAGGCCCCUGGCUUGUAAUAUAAA